GAGGUUGUGGCUCAGCGGGAGAGCACUCGUCUAGCACAUGUGAGGCCCUGGUUCAACCCAGAGAAACCACA
RNAcentral lists this transfer RNA (71 nucleotides) under Ictidomys tridecemlineatus (thirteen-lined ground squirrel). RNAcentral describes it as "Spermophilus tridecemlineatus (thirteen-lined ground squirrel) tRNA". It matches the Rfam family "tRNA". Rfam says of the family: Transfer RNA (tRNA) molecules are approximately 80 nucleotides in length. Their secondary structure includes four short double-helical elements and three loops (D, anti-codon, and T loops). Lineage: Eukaryota; Metazoa; Chordata; Mammalia; Rodentia; Sciuridae. The record is from Rfam by way of RNAcentral.